AUCCGGCCGGGUUGGCACCACUGUUGGCACCUCGCCUUCCGCCUCUCGCCGUAACUCUUUGUCCGGUUUACCACUUACGGAAUCCUGGCGUCGGCCUCCGGAGCCGAAGGUUACAGGUUCGAAUCCUGUCGGGGAUA
Molecule: transfer RNA, 137 nt
Filed under: Planctomycetaceae bacterium
Lineage: Bacteria; Pseudomonadati; Planctomycetota; Planctomycetia; Planctomycetales; Planctomycetaceae
Description: tRNA-Arg
Rfam family: tRNA (bases 82-137)
Source: RNAcentral